CCUACGGGUGGCAGCAGUGGGGAAUAUUGCGCAAUGGGCGAAAGCCUGACGCAGCGACGCCGCGUGAGGGAUGAAGGUCUUCGGAUCGUAAACCUCUGUCAGCAGGGAAGAACGGUCACUGUGCUAAUCAGCAGUGAAUUGACGGUACCUGCAAAGGAAGCACCGGCUAACUCCGUGCCAGCAGCCGCGGUAAUACGGAGGGUGCGAGCGUUAUCCGGAUUUAUUGGGUUUAAAGGGUGCGCAGGCGGAUUUUUAAGUCAGCGGUCAAAUCGUGGGGCUCAACCCCAUCCAGCCGUUGAAACUGGGGAUCUAGAGUAUCAGAGAGGAUUGCAGAAUUCCUGGUGUAGCGGUGAAAUGCGUAGAUAUCAGGAGGAAUACCGUUAGCGAAGGCGGCAAUCUGGCUGGAAACUGACGCUGAGGUGCGAAAGCGUGGGUAGCAAACAGGAUUAGAUACCCCAGUAGUC
This 464-nucleotide ribosomal RNA is filed under the name uncultured bacterium. RNAcentral's name for it is "partial 16S ribosomal RNA". It matches the Rfam family "Bacterial small subunit ribosomal RNA", at positions 338 to 795 of the family's 1533-position model. The record is from RNAcentral.